AUGCUACUGACCACAGGACUGUCCCUGAAUUACAAGCUCUCACUAGGUGGGCUCAUCCAGCCCCAUGGCUCCUGUCAGCGUCUCUUCACAGAAGACUCCCAGCUCUCGAUCUCCAGUUCUCUUCUGCAGCACCUUCUUCUACUUGCUGGGUCCUGGCUACAUCUUCCCAACCUAUCUGGUUAUCAACCUCUAAGCAUCCCAGCUCCAGUCAAAACUCCUCUGCUGGGGGCUUCCCUGGUGGUUGAGUGGUAAAGAAUCCAUCUGCCAACGCAGGACACACGGGUUCAAUCCCUGGUCUGGGAAGAUCCCACAUGUCAAGGAGCAACUGAGCCUGGGCGCCACAGCUGCUGAGCCUGUGCUCUAGAGCCUGGGAGCUGCAACCACUGAAACCACAUGCUGCCGAAGCCUGAGCGCCCCAGAGCCCGUGCUUCACCAGGGAAGUCGCCACAGUGAGAAACCCGCUCCCUGCAACCAGAGAGUAGCCCCCACUCAUAGCAACCAGAGAAAGCCUGCACACAGCAACACAGACCCAGCACAGCCA
This 541-nucleotide long non-coding RNA is filed under the name Bos indicus x Bos taurus (hybrid cattle). RNAcentral's name for it is "lncRNA (ENSBIXG00000000264.1)". Lineage: Eukaryota; Metazoa; Chordata; Mammalia; Artiodactyla; Bovidae. The record is from RNAcentral.